UCCAACUCGGUGAUCAGGACUGAACACAGACGAGUCACCAUGGAGUUUGGACUGAGCUGCGUUUUCCUUCUUGCUGUAUUAAAAGGUGUCCAGUGUGAGGUGCAGCUGGUGGAGUCCGGGGGAGGCUUGGUGAAGCCUGGGGGGUCUCUGAGACUCACCUGUGUCGCCUCUGGAUUCACCUUUGAUAACUAUGUCAUGCACUGGGUCCGCCAGGCUCCAGGGAAGGGACUGGAGUGGGUCUCAGCCAUUAGCGGGAGUGGUGGUAGCACAUACUACGCAGACUCCGUGAAGGGCCGAUUCACCAUCUCCAGGGAAAACGCCAAGAACACACUGUAUCUGCAAACUGAAAAUGCGAGAACUGAGGACACGGCCACGUAUUACUGUGCGAGAGACACAGUGAGGGGACGUCAGUGGGAGCCCAGACAAGAACCUCCCUACAGGGACACACGGGACCACCAGGGGGCGCUCAGGACCCACCAAGUUCAAGGCUGA
Molecule: non-coding RNA, 492 nt
Organism: Cynocephalus volans (Philippine flying lemur)
Lineage: Eukaryota; Metazoa; Chordata; Mammalia; Dermoptera; Cynocephalidae
Source: the annotation of a RefSeq genome assembly